UAGCUCAGUCAGUUGAGCUUGGCGCUAACAACGCUAAGGUCGCGGGUUUGAUUCCUGU
RNAcentral lists this transfer RNA (58 nucleotides) under Apaloderma vittatum (bar-tailed trogon). It matches the Rfam family "tRNA", at positions 8 to 63 of the family's 71-position model. Rfam says of the family: Transfer RNA (tRNA) molecules are approximately 80 nucleotides in length. Their secondary structure includes four short double-helical elements and three loops (D, anti-codon, and T loops). The record is from Rfam by way of RNAcentral. Lineage: Eukaryota; Metazoa; Chordata; Aves; Trogoniformes; Trogonidae.